Zonotrichia albicollis (white-throated sparrow) is the source of this 2631-nucleotide non-coding RNA. NCBI's taxonomy places the organism in Eukaryota, Metazoa, Chordata, Aves, Passeriformes, Passerellidae. The record is from RefSeq and is a predicted model, not a curated record.
AGUGACAAAAAACAUUGCUUGGACCCCUUGAAGAUCUGUGAUGAUAAAGAUCAUUCUUUUUACCUGUGUUAUUUAACAGGCUGAGGAACCCUUGAUUUGGGAACACAAGGAAUCUCCUCAGGAAACAAAAGUAUCCCAGAUGCUAGCACACCUGGUAACACAUCCAUAGAGCUGGCCUCUCACAGCAGCAUAGGUUUGAUGAAACAGAGAGAGAGAAACAGUUUGCAGAAGCACAAAAACAAAUCUACAGAAAUGUUGAUGGAGGUGACACAACUCAUCCCUUCACCUAAAGCCUGAAUGAUGCUUUGGAGGGUGUAGAAUUAAGAAGGCAUCAGCUGAAAUUACAGCUUUGGAGAACAAAAUGGAGGAUUUGGUCGUUGACUGCAACAGAAACUUUCACGUGGAAUAUCACUGCAUAUUUCUGAGACAUGUUUCAUCCAGCCAUAUUCCAUUGAGAAUUGCACCACACACAGAAUGAAGGUGGAAAGGUGAGGACUGUUUUUUAGAUACAGUAAAAGCCCACUGUGAUGCUGUCAAACAAAUAUAACAUAGAACUUGUCCAUGGCAUAAAAUCACAGUAGGUAUUAAUGAACAAGUAGAAAUUAUUGCUCUUUGCCAUUUAAGGAAAAUCAACUUUGCUGCUGCAAACAGAUAGAGUGAUGAAGAAUUGUCAGAUCCUGAUGUGAUAUGGCUCAGCCUUGCUUCAGCUGUUUCACAAGAGUCACCACUAUGGGAAGCUUCAUUUAAGAAGCUCUGGUCUGCACUACCCAAUGUAAUUUUAUACAAAGACUCAUGUUAUGUAUAUAAAACCACUUGAGAUAAGCUCAACAAGUAGGAAAAAAGUCUCCCAGAUCCCAUAGGUGUCAGAGUAAAUUGUGCAGUGUAAAAUCCUGGCUCUUGGGUUCCACCUGCCUGCAGCUGCCCAGCCCGAAUUGAUACCUUGAGGUGUUGCUUUAAGCACUUUUGGGAGCAGCUGGUGGUGCAGGAAACAUUUUGGGGGCAUGUUGUAGAGAAUCAAAGGUUGGAAUGAAAACCUCAGGAUGAUUUCUGAGGAUCUACAGUGAGUUCACCAGUCCUUCCUCUGCUCACCACUGUCUCUCACAGCCAUGCACUUCAAAUGUUCAGCAGAACCAUAUGAUAGAAUAAUCAGGGCUUUUGAGGAAACCAUUUGCAAAUAAAUCUGCCCUACUUUUAUUUUGGUCUUCUCUUUAUUGUGCUGAAUUUUCCUCACUGGAGCAGGUGGUUUUGUUGGGAAAGAACAUGGGUUUUAUUUUUGCUUUUGUUCUCAUUCAUUCUCUUUAAAAAAAAUUCCUGUUAAUUUGACUCUUUCCCUCCUUCUCUCAUCUGGAACAACAGCUAAAGUCUGGAACUGAGCAUCAGUAAAUUCAAACAUAGUUAUGAACAAGUAGCAUUGCACAGAUUUCCCAAGGUAUUGCAUAAUAGAAACAAACAAGCUCCUGCAGUACAAUAUUAAGACAUACAGCAUUUCAGCACUUUCUGUGCUUCCAACAAUUAAAUUACCAUCUACCCUGUGCUGGGCUUCAGGAGGAGGAGCACAAUUCUGUUCCCAUACGACUCUGUGGAGUAUUAAACCUAGUUAUUUUAUUAACUAAAGGCUCUCUUGGGAAAGCCAACUAAAAUUAUCAUAUCCUCUCACACACAUAAUGUAAUUAAGGCCCCUAUACAAAAAGGUACUUAAGCACAUGCUUUACUUUAAGCACAAAGGUAGAGGUCUUGAUUCAAUCAGGAUUACUGCUGGGUUUAAAAUUAAGUGCAUGAGUAAGUGCUUUGUACUGGGGUUCCUAUCAUCAGAGUAGCUAGAGAGCUAUCAGCAGAUAAGUUUUGCCUUGUUAUCCAGAAUUAAAAUGGAUGAGCUACCACACUUUUCCCCCUCAAGUUACUCUCCAUGCCUACUUGGAACUUUCUGCUCAGCAAAACCUGUAGGAACUCUGAGGUCUCAUCUCAAUUAAAACAAAGCAAAGCAAACAAACAACAAGACAUUGCUGGAUUUCUAUGGGUACCAUAUCCUUAUUUCCUUGGUUCAGGCCUUUGGUUGGAAUGCCAUUGGUUGCAAAGUCAUUUAAAUGAUACUAUAUGUUGUCACUGAUUUUCUUUUAUGGCUGUCCUAAUGAACAGUCAGGGGAAGGUGUGGAAAUAAUUGCUUUGAGAGUGAGCUUCUCAGUACACUUUUCCUUUUUUCCACAUGAACAUUAUAUGGUCAUCACUGAGCUGUGAGACUGGGAGUGGUAAUACCCCCAGAAUAUUUCUGUGUCUACAUGCACUUCACUUCUAUGUACAGUGGUCUGUUGUUUCUACUCCAAACCACCAUUCACGUCCUAGAAAUCAGAGAGAAAUCCUCAAAUCAGGACCAAAGAAGGUAAAAGUAACAGAGUAGCUUCUCUAAGUUACCCAUUCUAGAUUUGAACCGUCUUACUGCAAGGAUAAUAUUACCUACAAUGUGGCACUGGCAUCCCCAGCCAUGCUUUUAUCCCCCUGCAGCAGAGCAGAGAGCACACACCAAAGUUUUCCUGCAAUAGGCACGCAGACACUGAUGCUCUAAACUUCUGAAGUGCUUGUGGCUGUAGCAGGCCUGGAUUUCCUUUGAUUGCUUUGGCAAAUUCAGGAAAAUUA